Molecule: ribosomal RNA, 231 nt
Filed under: uncultured bacterium
Lineage: Bacteria
Description: partial 16S ribosomal RNA
Rfam family: Bacterial small subunit ribosomal RNA
Source: RNAcentral
UGAGGAACAUGACCUUCGGCGGGGGAUAGCCGGCCCAACGGCCGGGUAAUACCGCGUACGACCACAUGGGGACAUCCCUGAGUGGUGAAAGCAGCAAUGCGCCGAUGGAGUGCCUCGCGGCCUAUCAGCUAGUUGGUGAGGUAACGGCUCACCAAGGCGACGACGGGUAGCUGGCCUGAGAGGAUGGCCAGCCACAUUGGAACUGAGACACGGUCCAGACCUNUACGGGAG